RNAcentral lists this ribosomal RNA (465 nucleotides) under uncultured bacterium. RNAcentral describes it as "partial 16S ribosomal RNA". It matches the Rfam family "Bacterial small subunit ribosomal RNA", at positions 28 to 507 of the family's 1533-position model. The record is from RNAcentral.
GACGAACGCUGGCGGCGUGCUUAACACAUGCAAGUCGAACGGAAAGGCCCCCUUGUGGGGUACUCGAGUGGCGAACGGGUGAGUAACACGUGAGUAACCUACCCUUGACUUUGGGAUAACUUCAGGAAACUGGGGCUAAUAUCGGAUAGGAGCUCCUGCUGCAUGGUGGGGGUUGGAAAGUUUCGGCGGUUGGGGAUGGACUCGCGGCUUAUCAGCUUGUUGGUGGGGUAGUGGCUCACCAAGGCUUUGACGGGUAGCCGGCCUGAGAGGGUGACCGGCCACAUUGGGACUGAGAUACGGCCCAGACUCCUACGGGAGGCAGCAGUGGGGAAUAUUGCACAAUGGGCGGAAGCCUGAUGCAGCAACGCCGCGUGCGGGAUGACGGCCUUCGGGUUGUAAACCGCUUUCGCCUGUGACGAAGCGUGAGUGACGGUAAUGGGUAAAGAAGCACCGGCUAACUACGUG